RNAcentral lists this ribosomal RNA (252 nucleotides) under uncultured bacterium. Its description in RNAcentral is "partial 16S ribosomal RNA". It matches the Rfam family "Bacterial small subunit ribosomal RNA", at positions 524 to 776 of the family's 1533-position model. The record is from RNAcentral.
UACGUAGGGUGCAAGCGUUAAUCGGAAUUACUGGGCGUAAAGCGUGCGCAGGCGGUUUUGUAAGUCUGUCGUGAAAGCCCGGGCUUAACCUGGGAAUUGCGAUGGAGACUGCAAGGCUUGAAUCUGGCAGAGGGGGGUAGAAUUCCACGUGUAGCAGUGAAAUGCGUAGAGAUGUGGAGGAACACCGAUGGCGAAGGCAGCCCCCUGGGUCAAGAUUGACGCUCAUGCACGAAAGCGUGGGGAGCAAACAGG